GACGAACGCUGGCGGCGUGCCUAAUACAUGCAAGUAGAACGCUGAAGCUUGGUGCUUGCACCGAGCGGAUGAGUUGCGAACGGGUGAGUAACGCGUAGGUAACCUGCCUGGUAGCGGGGGAUAACUAUUGGAAACGAUAGCUAAUACCGCAUAAUAGUAGAUGUUGCAUGACAUUUGCUUAAAAGGUGCAAUUGCAUCACUACCAGAUGGACCUGCGUUGUAUUAGCUAGUUGGUGAGGUAACGGCUCACCAAGGCAACGAUACAUAGCCGACCUGAGAGGGUGAUCGGCCACACUGGGACUGAGACACGGCCCAGACGCCUACGGGAGGCAGCAGUAGGGAAUCUUCGGCAAUGGACGGAAGUCUGACCGAGCAACGCCGCGUGAGUGAAGAAGGUUUUCGGAUCGUAAAGCUCUGUUGUAAGAGAAGAACGAGUGUGAGAGUGGAAAGUUCACACUGUGACGGUAGCUGACCAGAAAGGGACGGCUAACUACGUG
RNAcentral lists this ribosomal RNA (497 nucleotides) under uncultured bacterium. Its description in RNAcentral is "partial 16S ribosomal RNA". It matches the Rfam family "Bacterial small subunit ribosomal RNA", at positions 28 to 507 of the family's 1533-position model. The record is from RNAcentral.